AGGCUAAAAGGAGAGAUGAGAUUCUCCAACUCUUAAAAAAACAAAGAGAAGAAAGGAUCUCGAAAGAACUGAUCUCCCUUCCUUAUAAACCAAAGAGCAAAGUCUGCAAAGCAAAGAAAGUGAUUCCAGAGUCCAAUAAGGAAGACCAAGAAGAAGUCAAAGCUUUGAACUAAAUUGAUUGACACGUUCCAGAGGACGG
Myotis daubentonii (Daubenton's bat) is the source of this 199-nucleotide long non-coding RNA. RefSeq lists it as uncharacterized. The transcript has 3 exons. The record is from RefSeq and is a predicted model, not a curated record. Lineage: Eukaryota; Metazoa; Chordata; Mammalia; Chiroptera; Vespertilionidae.